AUUGAACGCUGGCGGCAGGCCUAACACAUGCAAGUCGAGCGGAUGAAGGGAGCUUGCUCCUGGAUUCAGCGGCGGACGGGUGAGUAAUGCCUAGGAAUCUGCCUGGUCGUGGGGGAUAACGUCCGGAAACGGGCGCUAAUACCGCAUACGUCCUGAGGGAGAAAGUGGGGGAUCUUCGGACCUCACGCUAUCAGAUGAGCCUAGGUCGGAUUAGCUAGUUGGUGGGGUAAAGGCCUACCAAGGCGACGAUCCGUAACUGGUCUGAGAGGAUGAUCAGUCACACUGGAACUGAGACACGGUCCAGACUCCUACGGGAGGCAGCAGUGGGGAAUAUUGGGCAAUGGGCGAAAGCCUGAUCCAGCCAUGCCGCGUGUGUGAAGAAGGUCUUCGGAUUGUAAAGCACUUUAAGUUGGGAGGAAGGGCAGUAAGUUAAUACCUUGCUGUUUUGACGUUACCAACAGAAUAAGCACCGGCUAACUUCGUG
This 484-nucleotide ribosomal RNA is filed under the name uncultured bacterium. Its description in RNAcentral is "partial 16S ribosomal RNA". It matches the Rfam family "Bacterial small subunit ribosomal RNA", at positions 30 to 507 of the family's 1533-position model. The record is from RNAcentral.